UGCGUAGGCGGUUUGGUAAGUCUUAUGUGAAAUCUAUGGGCUCAACUCAUAGACUGCAUGAGAAACUGCCGGGCUUGAGUAUGGGAGAGGUGAGUGGAAUUCCUGGUGUAGCGGUGAAAUGCGUAGAUAUCAGGAGGAACACCUGUGGCGAAAGCGGCUCACUGGACCAUAACUGACGCUGAUGCACGAAAGCGUAGGGGAGCAAACA
This 208-nucleotide ribosomal RNA is filed under the name uncultured bacterium. RNAcentral's name for it is "partial 16S ribosomal RNA". It matches the Rfam family "Bacterial small subunit ribosomal RNA", at positions 568 to 774 of the family's 1533-position model. The record is from RNAcentral.